UAAACUUCUAUAAGUCUCCAAGCGUCCACAGUGAAAAUUUUUUCAUUUCUAAAUUAUAUUUAUAAUUGUUAUCUAUAACUGUAGAAGUAAAGUUGUCUGGAAAUGUUUUUAUUUCAAAUUCUCUAAUCGAAUAACAUGAGUUUAAUGCUUUAAAAACCGUUUCAGUAUUUACAAACCAAUUUAUCAUUUUAUCACAUUAUCAGCAACUUAUCAUGCAAUGAUUUCUUCAUGAAUGGUUUGAUUAAUUUUUUUUUUCACUUAAUAGACCAAUAUCAGUAUUUUUGUGCCUCUUGGUCUUCCUCGUCUUUCAUAGCAGGCUGAAUUGUAAUUUUUUACAAAGUUUUAAAUUUUUUGUUAACAUUAAUCCAGCAACGGGUUAGUAAAUCAUGUGGAGGGUCCUGGAAAAGUUGUGAAAGACGAUCGUGAAGCAGAUAAGAAUGAAGAAGAAAAAGAUGGUGAUAAUAAUUUACGCCUUUUUCUGUUAUUGUUCUUCUAGUUUUAUUUCUUUUGCAGUUUUUUUUGUCUUUCAUACUGCUGUUGCUGCUACUACUUCUACAACUAUGAAGCCUUUGGCUGGUGACUUUUCGGUUAAUUUUUUUGAUUCGCUUGAUGAAAUGAUGUAUUCAGGUGCUGUGGUAUCAAUAUUUACCGUUUGAAAAAUCCGUUGCGUCUUGAAAUAAUAUUCUCUUCUCUAACGCUCCAAAUAUAAGUCUUCAUCAUAACGAUUGAAAUUAUUUAAUCCCUUGACAGCAAAUAUGUGUCUGUAAUAAUUAAUAAUAAUUAAAAUUAACCACUAGUGCGUAUCAGGUUUGCUCUUAAUCCUACAGUUAAUUUAUUUAUUUCUUUUUAAUAAACCCAACAGCUUUGAAGACGGGAAUAAGGGGGGGGGGCACUUAUAGUACAAAAAUUUAACAAGAUUUAAGAAAAAGAAUAAGAAUGUAAUUUUCACUUGAGUGGUUUGCGAACAGGCUCAUACAUCUACUUGUUCUCUCGCAAGCACAAUGAAAAUUUUCUGCUAUGAAUCGAGGACACGAUUUACAUCAUGCUGCAACCUAGAGCCAUGGAGAGGUUAAUGAACAACUUAAUCUAGGCGAGAAUAAUCAUCGAUGAAGACCCGGUGAGUGGUGGACCGACUGGUCCCUACAUUCAGUUUGAGCAGCUAAAAAUUUUCCAAAAGCACGUGAAGAAGCUGUUUGACAGUGAUAAGAUGUAUCAAUGGCUCUCAUGUUCUAGGUCUAGUCAAGUGUCUAAUAUCUACGCCUAAGUACGUAGAAAUUUAUCAAGCUUUUGGCUGCACGCCUCCUUGCGUUGGACACACUGCUGAUUCUCAACACUAAUGACAAAAAAUUGUCCAAAAUGCAGAGGGAUAUCAGGGUUUUGACUUCUAUCGGGAACAGGGAAUUUUUUUUUAGCUUUGAUGUAUUAGGGUAAAAGACCCCAUUAGUGGCGGGGAUCCCAUUACUGACACU
Molecule: long non-coding RNA, 1469 nt
Filed under: Cotesia glomerata
Lineage: Eukaryota; Metazoa; Arthropoda; Insecta; Hymenoptera; Braconidae
Description: uncharacterized LOC123272650, transcript variant X4
Source: RNAcentral